Molecule: non-coding RNA, 659 nt
Organism: Drosophila virilis
Lineage: Eukaryota; Metazoa; Arthropoda; Insecta; Diptera; Drosophilidae
Source: RefSeq, a predicted model, not a curated record
GUCAUGUCGACGUUCUACUUGAGCACUGUCAGCUGGACAAAAUAGAAACAAUAAUUUCACAUACAUAUGUUUAAAUUUGUGUUAAUUCUGUUUUUUUAGUUAACACUUAUGUAAAGUCAUAAAUAAUGUUCUAUUGUAGUUAAUGAUGAAACGGAAAAGUAUCAUCUGUUUGAGCACCAGCCGCACCAGACACGCAGGCAGACGAAAUACCAGGCAAACAAAAUUCUAAGGCAGCUGAUAAAAGUUGAUUAAAGCUGGCAUUAUUGUUGUUGUUGUUCCUCAUCGACUGCGGUUGGAGGAAUCGCACGCGAAAGCAAGGCAAGUCAACAAGUGAACAGAAUGAAAAGCAGGUACCCGAACUACUUGAGUAAACGAAGAAAGAGAACGCGUAAAUGCAGUUAUCAAAAUAUAUUUGGCAUGUUGUGUGUGCAGAGCAGCCAUAAUUAAUGUGCCGUUCCAUGAAGUUGGGAAUUAGCGUACAGUGGCGUCCCUUGUCAUAGACAUACCGACUUUUGUUUGAGCACUGUCACGAACUGAAAUAGAAGCAAAAAUUUAAUAAUUGUUUCAAUUCAUAGUCACAGCCAUACAAUAUUAUACAAAUUUUCUAGUUGGAUUUUGUUAAAUAAACUUUUAAGUGAAGUCUCUUGUUAUGUUUUUAA